UGUUAGAAAUCACAAAACCAUACAGGAUUAUACCUUGUUUGGGAAAUUAGGAACUUCAGGUUUUUGCUUCUUUGUUUCUGUCUCCUUUGCCUUUUGGAUUUGUGAUUUAUAACACUAUAUCGGAAGUUUUUAGAACAAAAUUCAUGUUAAAUGUUGCCCAAGAUCGUACCUAUCUGAAUGAUAUAAAUGGAAUCCUGAGGCAGUUUGUUCUUCAGACUCCAGACGUCUGCAUACAGCUGGGGUGGUCAGUAUUGAUAGCCAAAAUGGCCAAAAUGGGUGCUUUGGCUCUGUGCUGUCCAGAUCCCUUGGCACAUACUUGAGAUACCAUCUCAUAUUCACUUUGUACAAAGUUCAGUGUAGUAGUCCCAUUUUAUGCAUAUAUGAGCACCAUUAACUUACAAAAUGGACAAACAUAGCAUGGAAAGACACUUGGAGAGAGAAUACUAGGCAAGAGAGUGCCUUCAACUUUGAAAGAACCAAGCCGCAUAUAAGGAUCUUGCCCUGCUUUGUGAACGCAGAGAUGCCUUUACUGGUGAAGUUGAAAGGAUACUAUAAUCACCUCAGUAUAAUUCAUUAGAGUAGAUUAAAUUAAAAUUUAGAUGAAAAUCAUGAUUUCUUAUUGAAAUGAUUUAAUUAGAUUAUAGUCCCUAAAGUUGAGUAAUUGAGUCUCAAGGCGACAAGGGACUUUAACAAGCCAUUAAAACUAUCCUUCUGUGUGGAGUUGGAUUAAGGAACCAACAGCAAGUCUGUUCAGGGACCUGGCAUCAGUCUCUAAGGACACAAGAACGUUAUUUCAAGAAAUACAGGGCGGCUAACUCUGGCUUUCAUAUACAACCCAUAUAAGAGUUCACAGGACAGUGGCGACGAUACUGAGUAGAAGACAAAGUCAUAACAUCACUGUACAUUUGAAUGGAGGGGAUUUAGAAACCAUCCACCCAGUGCCUGAAUUCCUCUCUACAACAUCAGAGAUGUUGGGGAAAGACCUUUACAUACGUACCCUCAUGUAAAUCCAUUUGAAGGAUCGUAAACCAUUUUAAGGAUAGUGUAAUGAAGAAACUUCCAUGGGGACCGAGAGCUACUUAGUUCGAUCUGAAACUAAAUACACUUCUCGUGGUGUCACCAGAAUCGGAUGUGUUUUCAGAUCUCCGGAUGAAGCUGCAUUUUUGACAAAGGUGAAGAACCACAAUGACCUUGCAAAGCGGAAAGGCCUGACCCAAUGAUUUUUUUACUAAUCGCAACUUUACGAACAAAACUAAGCCGAGAACGGCCAAAUUCCAGAAAAUGUUCUUAAUGGACACUAACAGGAGCAAAAUGACAGGCAUAGAAAUGACAACAUGGAAUCCCCAAAUUCUGAAGAGAACUAACAUCACAAAGCAACCAAGUAACCUGAAAUAUAAGAAGAGACAGUCCCCUCCAAAGAGAAAGGAAGUGAUCUCUGGCUCAGUUCUAAGAGAAUAUGUGGGGAAGAGAUGCUGAGC
Long non-coding RNA from Leopardus geoffroyi (Geoffroy's cat), 1478 nucleotides. RefSeq lists it as uncharacterized. The transcript is spliced from 7 exons. The record is from RefSeq and is a predicted model, not a curated record. Lineage: Eukaryota; Metazoa; Chordata; Mammalia; Carnivora; Felidae.